UCGUCAGCUCGUGCCGUGAGGUGUCGGCUUAAGUGCCAUAACGAGCGCAACCCCCAUCGACAGUUGCUAACAGAUCAAGCUGAGGACUCUGUCGAGACUGCCGGCGCAAGCUGUGAGGAAGGCGGGGAUGACGUCAAAUCAGCACGGCCCUUACGUCCGGGGCGACACACGUGUUACAAUGGCGGGGACAGCGGGAAGCCACCUGGCGACAGGGAGCGGAACCCGAAACCCCGUCUCAGUUCGGAUUGGAGUCUGCAACCCGACUCCAUGAAGCUGGAUUCGCUAGUAAUCGCGCAUCAGCCACGGCGCGGUGAAUACGUUCCCGGGCCUUGUACACACCGCCCGUCAAGCCAUGGAAGCCGGGAGUGCCUGAAGUUCGUGACCGCAAGGAGCGACCUAGGGUAAAACCGGUGACUGGGGCUAAGUCGUAACAAGGUAGCCGUACCGGAAGGUGCGGCUGGAUCACCUC
RNAcentral lists this ribosomal RNA (469 nucleotides) under uncultured bacterium. RNAcentral's name for it is "bacterial SSU rRNA". It matches the Rfam family "Bacterial small subunit ribosomal RNA", at positions 1052 to 1529 of the family's 1533-position model. The record is from RNAcentral.